GACGAACGCUGGCGGCGUGCCUAAUACAUGCAAGUUGAGCGCCGAAGGUUGGUACUUGUACCAACUGGAUGAGCAGCGAACGGGUGAGUAACGCGUGGGGAAUCUGCCUUUGAGCGGGGGACACCGCGUGGAAACGAAUGCUAAUACCGCAUAAAUACUUUACACACAAGUUUUAAGUUUGAAAGAUGCAAUUGCAUCACUCAAAGAUGAUCCCGCGUUGUAUUAGCUAGUUGGUGAGGUAAAGGCUCACCAAGGCGAUGAUACAUAGCCGACCUGAGAGGGUGAUCCGCCACAUUGGGACUGAGACACGGCCCCAACUUCUACGGGAGGCAGCAGGAGGGAAUCUUCGGCAAUGGACGAAAGUCUGGCCGAGCAACGCCGCGGGAGGGAAGAAGGUUUUCGGAUCGUAAAACUCUGUUGGUAGAGAAGAACGUUGGUGAGAGUGGAAAGCUCAUCAAGUGACGGUAACUAACCAGAAAGGGACGGCUAACUACGUG
RNAcentral lists this ribosomal RNA (497 nucleotides) under uncultured bacterium. RNAcentral describes it as "partial 16S ribosomal RNA". It matches the Rfam family "Bacterial small subunit ribosomal RNA", at positions 28 to 507 of the family's 1533-position model. The record is from RNAcentral.